Molecule: non-coding RNA, 103 nt
Organism: Eucalyptus grandis
Lineage: Eukaryota; Viridiplantae; Streptophyta; Magnoliopsida; Myrtales; Myrtaceae
Source: Rfam
AAGAGUAAAUUGUCUUUUCGGAUAAAAUUGGAAUAAUACGGAGAUGAUUGGCAUGGAUUUGCGCAAGAUGACAGGGACAAAUCGAGAAAUGGUACAAAUUUAC